GUCACUUCCGCCGAGUCCCUGACCUGCUGCUAGGAUCGCGACGGGAACUGGAGCCUGAGGUGUCCGCGCGGCCCGGGCCUGGCGCCCUGAGGGGAAGAGCGGCCCGGCCCGAGGGUGCUGGGGUGGAGAGUUUUACUCCAAUACCUUUCCUAGCCAUGACGGACGGGAUCCUAGGGAAGGCAGCCACAAUGGAGAUCCCUAUCCACGGGAAUGGCGAAGCCAGGCAGCUUCCUGAAGAUGAUGGGCUGGAGCAGGUGCUUCUGUUUGAUUCUUCUAAUUGUUUCAAUUUAGGAAUCCAAUUUAUAAAUCCUGGGUUCUCACCCUCCAUUCCAGUAGCCUUCCCCUGACUUAUCUGACUCCCUUCAUUCUUUUUACAUAUCAUUUUGAUUCUGUGCAGACUUCCCUUGUGUACUGCCUUUAUGAUGCUUGAAUCCAAACUUGUUCCCACCUCCAAAAUGCUUCUGCAGCCCCUAUGUUCCUGAAGCAACUCCUCUUCUCUGGCCUAUAGGACCUCCAGCAGGUGAUGGUGUCAGGACCCAACCUCAAUGAAACCAGCAUUGUGUCUGGUGGCUAUGGGGGCUCUGGUGAUGGACUCAUCCCCACAGGUAUGAAUGUUCAGAAACAGGAAUCUUGGGUGGAGGAGGGACAGGAAUGGUUUGGGGAAGCAUAGGAUGUGUCUAGGAAAGCUUGAAUUAUGUCUGGAGAUCUUGGGAACUUCUGCUUGUAGGAACCCCAUGGACUCUCCUCAGCCCAAAAGCAACUCCCAGCAUUGUCCAUCCAUUUUCCUUUUGCCACUUAGCCCCUUAAAUGGCUCAUUUGUCCUUUCCCUGCCACCACCUGAGUCAAGUUAAGACCUACUUCACAGGAAUGCCCCCGCUCUACAGCUUGAGGCUGAGUUGGAACUUUGUGAGGCUUCUCA
Molecule: small RNA, 919 nt
Filed under: Pongo abelii (Sumatran orangutan)
Lineage: Eukaryota; Metazoa; Chordata; Mammalia; Primates; Hominidae
Description: retained intron
Source: RNAcentral